GACGAACCGAGCGAACGUUGUUCGGAAUCACUGGGCUUAAAGGGCGCGUAGGCGGGUGCUCAAGUCCGUGGUGAAAUCCUCCGGCUCAACCGGAGAACUGCCUCGGAUACUGGGCGUCUCGAGUGUGGUAGGGGUAUGCGGAACUAUCGGUGGAGCGGUGAAAUGCGUUGAUAUCGAUAGGAACUCCGGUGGCGAAAGCGGCGUGCUGGACCUCUUCUGACGCUGAGGCGCGAAAGCUAGGGGAGCAAAAAGG
Molecule: ribosomal RNA, 253 nt
Filed under: uncultured bacterium
Lineage: Bacteria
Description: partial 16S ribosomal RNA
Rfam family: Bacterial small subunit ribosomal RNA
Source: RNAcentral